This 248-nucleotide ribosomal RNA is filed under the name uncultured bacterium. Its description in RNAcentral is "partial 16S ribosomal RNA". It matches the Rfam family "Bacterial small subunit ribosomal RNA", at positions 57 to 305 of the family's 1533-position model. The record is from RNAcentral.
GCAAGUUGAACGAGAAAUUCACUUCGGGGAAUGGAAAGUAGCGAAAGGGUGAGUAACGCGUGAAUUAUCUACCUCUAAGUUUGGAAUAACAGUUGGAAACGACUGCUAAUACCGGAUGUGAAUAUAAGGUCGCCUGGCCUAAUAUUUAAAGAUUUAUCGCUUAGAGAUGAGUUCGCGUGCCAUUAUGCUAGUUGGUAAGGUAAAAGCUUACCAAGGCUAUGACGGCUAGGUGGUCUGAGAGGACGAUC